Malurus melanocephalus (red-backed fairy wren) is the source of this 251-nucleotide long non-coding RNA. RefSeq lists it as uncharacterized. The transcript is spliced from 3 exons. The record is from RefSeq and is a predicted model, not a curated record. NCBI's taxonomy places the organism in Eukaryota, Metazoa, Chordata, Aves, Passeriformes, Maluridae.
UUUAUCCUCUACAGAGAUCCAAAAGCAUUUAGUCAACUCAAAAAUGCCCAGAAGCCCAUAAAAAGGCCUCCAGCAUCCUGAGGGAAGUCAAACUGGAAGUCUUGUCCUGUAGCCUGGACAUGCCUUUGGUCCAGCAGGAAAGCUCAGCUGAUCCCUCUGCCUUCUCAUCUCCUCACCUGCCAAGUGGGGUCAGAGCCCAGUGAGGCUGCAGAGCUGCUUGCUCAGCACAGGGUGGACCAGAGCAGGCUCCA